GCUUUAUAGCCGGGAAGGUAAAGUGAGGAAGAAAAGCAGUAGCAAGCAACAGUAAGGUAAAAGGGGGCAAGGAAAUGACAGCGAGAGCAGAUAACGCUUGAUAGCUGAAGAACGAACGCCUGAACUGACGAAGUGUUGUUGGUGCUGACAAGACGCCGCCGCCGGUCGAUCUCCCCUCACCGCGCCCGCCGCCCGCCGCUGACUGCUGGAUACGAGCCGCCGCGGGCCGUAGACUCAUCCCUGAGCUCCUGCUGCUCCACUCCCGCCGUCGCUUGCUGCUCCAGCUCGGCCCCGCCUCCUUCUGCUCCAGCUCGGCGCCUCGCCCUGCUGUUCCAGCUCGGCGCCUCCCUCUCCUGCAGCAGCGACGCCAAGGUGAGAGACCGUCCCCCUUCUGUUGCCUGCUAUUCCUCUGUGUUCCUUGUUCUCUCUGUAGCCUUUGUCCGAAAUUGUCCACUGGAGAGGAGCCGCUGCCCCCUGCUGCUGCAGUUCGUUCUGCUCAAUUCGGCCCCGCCGACCGCUGGAGAAUCAUCCCCAACAUCUUGCUGCUCCACUCAGCCCUGCCCCCUGCAGCUCCAGUUCGUGCGCACCUCCCCCCUGCCUGUUAGCUUCCUGCCUUGCCAUCAACAGCAGCUAGCCAAGAUUCACAAUGUCGCGACGGAUGCAACUCGUGAUAUAAUUGCCGACGCUCCGACGGUCCCAAGAGAGCAUGACUGUAAUAGGUUAAACUAAUGUGCUACCAUGAUGACAAAUAUUUUGCAACCGAACGAUGUGAAGAAAAUAUAGUUGCAGUAAUCUAUGGUAUAAGGUGUCAAAAUUAUUGUCA
Brachypodium distachyon (stiff brome) is the source of this 823-nucleotide long non-coding RNA. RefSeq lists it as uncharacterized. Lineage: Eukaryota; Viridiplantae; Streptophyta; Magnoliopsida; Poales; Poaceae. The record is from RefSeq and is a predicted model, not a curated record. The transcript is spliced from 2 exons.